This 528-nucleotide long non-coding RNA is filed under the name Mytilus galloprovincialis (Mediterranean mussel). The record is from RNAcentral. Lineage: Eukaryota; Metazoa; Mollusca; Bivalvia; Mytilida; Mytilidae.
AAGAUGGCCGCCACAGCUAAAUAUAGAACAUAGGGGUAAAAUGCAGUUUUUGGCUUAUAACUCAAAAAUUAAAGCAUAUAGAGCAAAUCUGACGGAGUGAAAUUGUUUAUCAUGUCAAGAUCUAUCUGCCCUGAAAUUUUCAGAUCCGACAACCGGUUGUUGGGUUGCUGCCCCUAAAUUGGUAAUUUUAAGGAAAUUUUGACGUUUUUUGUUAUUAUCUUGAAUAUUAUUAUAGAUAAACUGUAAACAGCAAUUAUGUACAGCAAAGUAAGACCUAAAAAUAAGUCAACAUGACCAAAAUGGUCAGUUGACCCCCUAAGGAGUUAUUGUCCUUUAUAGUCAAUUUUUAACAAUUUUCAUAAAAUUUGUAAAUUAUUACUAACAUUUUCCACUGAAACUACUGGGCCAAGAUCAUUAUAGAUAGAGAUAAUUGAAAGCAGCAAGAAUGUUCAGUAAAGUAAGAUGUACAAACACAUCACCAUCACCAAAACACAAUUUUGUCAUGAAUCCAUCUGCUUCCUUUGCUUA